This 251-nucleotide ribosomal RNA is filed under the name uncultured bacterium. RNAcentral's name for it is "partial 16S ribosomal RNA". It matches the Rfam family "Bacterial small subunit ribosomal RNA", at positions 57 to 305 of the family's 1533-position model. The record is from RNAcentral.
GCAAGUCGAGGGGUAACAGGAGUAGCAAUACUUGCUGACGACCGGCGCACGGGUGAGUAACGCGUAUGCCACCUACCUCUAACUGAGGCAUAGCCCGGAGAAAUCCGGAUUAAUACCUCAUAAUAUUUCGAAUUCGCAUGUUUUCGAAAUUAAAGCUCUGGCGGUUAGAGAUGGGCAUGCGUGACAGGAGUUAGUGGGUGAGGUAACGGCUCACCAAGACUGCGAUGUCUAGGGGGUCUGAGAGGAUGGGC